GCUGGCGGCGUGCCUAACACAUGCAAGUGGAGCGACGAACCAGACUUCGGUCUGGGGCCAAGCCGCGAACGGGUGAGUAACACGUGGGUAACCUGCCCCGAUGAUCGGGACAACCCGGGGAAACCCGGGCUAAUACCGAAUGUGGUCCCGGCUCUUGAGAGCCGUGACGAAAGGAAGCUUCGGCCUCCGCAUCGGGAGGGGCCCGCGGCCCAUUAGCUAGUUGGUGAGGUAACGGCUUACCAAGGCUUCGAUGGGUAGCUGGUCUGAGAGGACGAUCAGCCACACUGGGACUGAGACACGGCCCAGACUCCUACGGGAGGCAGCAGUGGGGAAUCUUGCGCAAUGCGCGAAAGCGUGACGCAGCAACGCCGCGUGCGGGAAGACGGCCUUCGGGUUGUAAACCGCUUUCAGUUGGGACGAAGCUUCGCCGGUGAAUAGCCGGCUGGAGUAACGGUACCUUCACAAGAAGCCCCGGCUAACUACGUGCCAGCAGCCGCGGUAAUACGUAGGGGGCAAGCGUUGUCCGGAAUCAUUGGGCGUAAAGAGCGUGUAGGCGGCUUCGUCAGUCCGUUGUGAAAGUCCAGGGCUCAACCCUGGAAUGCCGAUGGAUACUGCGGAGC
This 620-nucleotide ribosomal RNA is filed under the name uncultured soil bacterium. RNAcentral describes it as "bacterial SSU rRNA". It matches the Rfam family "Bacterial small subunit ribosomal RNA", at positions 35 to 641 of the family's 1533-position model. The record is from RNAcentral.